RNAcentral lists this long non-coding RNA (4280 nucleotides) under Sus scrofa (pig). RNAcentral's name for it is "lncRNA (ENSSSCG00065034543.1)". The record is from RNAcentral. Lineage: Eukaryota; Metazoa; Chordata; Mammalia; Artiodactyla; Suidae.
UUCUGUAUACAGCUGUAGAUUUGGUGUGUCCCUGGCAGGAGGUGUGCUCAGGAUCCUUUUAUGUCACCGUCUUAAACUGGACCCUGUCUCUUUUUGCACAUGUGCUCCUUGGUGCAGAAGGCCCUGUUUGAGGAGGAGGACCACAUCCAGAAGUUGCAGCAGAAGGUGGCCACCCUGGAGAAGGGGAACAAGCAGGUGUGAGAUCCAGUGAAGAAGGUCAAGGAGGUCCCAAGUGCACAAGAACGGCUGCCACCUGGAGCUGCUAAACUGAAAGAGAAGCUGCCAGAUACAUCAAAAAAUACAUCUAGAUGUGGAACAAUUCUCACGGAACACCUACUGCGCGCUGGCAGGUAAAAGGACCAAAGUUGUAGGACAGAGCUCCAUGUACCCAGCUCCUGAGGAGGAAUACUCAAGUUUUGCUCUUCUCCCAGAAGUGCUCCAGUCCCACCUACCUCACACCACAGCUCAGAAAUGGCUUCUCCUCCAAUAACUGGGGAACAAACAGACUCUGACAACCACAGAGCAAAGAGGCCCUGCACAACAUCCAGAGCAGGCUCUGGUUACCACAACACCAGUCACACACUAUCAAGGGGAUAACAGCCAGCACAGACUGAGGAAAGAUGUGGGAUGCAUCCAUACUAAAAACAGGCAUCACACCAAAAAUAUUAGACUCGUGUAGGCUAUACAGGGAUGCUCCCAUAUAUAAACAUCCCUCCAAGACCACAAAAUAGCUCUUUGUCCUAAACUCAUAGAGUCAGAGAAAUAGAAGUAAAAAGCAGAAGAACCACUCCCAAUGAAAAGAUCAAGAGAAAACCCCUGAAAGAACAAACAGUGAAAAAGACCUCUCCAGUCUACAAGACCCUGAGUUCAGAAAGGCGGUAAUAAAAGUACUAAAUGGAUUAGGAAAGACUGUUGAUAGAAAUACAGGUUAUUGAAAAAAGGAACCAGAAACUGUAAGGAGGAGCCAACUAGAAAACUCAUUUGCUGAAAUAGAAGCUGAGCUAAGUGCAAUGCAUAGCAAACUGAAUAAUGCAGAAGCACAAAUAAGUGAUCUGGAAUUUUGAAUAAUGAAAAUCACCCAAUUGGAACAGUAGAAAAACAAAACAAAACAAAAAAAGAGCAAUAUACCAGACCUAUGGAAUAAUAUAGAAUGUACCAAUCUAUGCAUAAUCGGGAUCCCAGAGGAGAGGAAAGAAAAAAAGAGGAUUGAAAAUAUAUUUGAAGAAAUUAGGGCUUAAAAUUUCCCAACCUAAUAAAGGAAACAUACCCAGGUACAGGAACCAUAGAGAUUCCUAAGCACUACGAACUCAGACAGACAUAACUAAAAUAGCAGCAGUUACAGGCAACAAGAGAAAAAGUUAAUUUCAAGGGAACCCCUCUAAGGCUAUAAGCUGAUUUCUCUACAGGAACAUUGCAGGCCAGAAAGGACAUGCAAGGUAUGUUCAAAGUUCUGAAAGGGAAAAACCUGCUACUGAAGAUACCCUACCUAGCAAGAGAAUCAUUUAGAAUAGAAGGAGAGAGAAAGAAUUUCUCAUGAAAGAACAAAACCAAUACAGCAAUACCAAACCUAUCCCAAAGGAAAUAUUGCAAGUUCUCUAAAUAGAAAACAAGCUAGACAAUAGAGGAAGGAGAAACUCACAGUUGGGAAGUAAACCACUUAAAUAAGCCAGAGGUAAAAAAAUUUUGUGUGUGAAAGUGAUAACUACAAUGAACAAAAAAAUUAAAAUGGGGAGGGGAGUAAGAGAAUGUAGAUUUUUUUUUUAGAAUGUACUUGAGCCUGUAUAACUACCAGUCUAAAGCAAGUAGAUAUAAAAUGGGUUAAUAUACUUAAAAAACAUGGUAACCACACAUCAAAAACAUGCAAUAGAUUCAUGAAAACUAAGAGAAUAUAAGCAUAAUAUGAAAGAAAACCAUCAAACCACAAAAGGAAACAGAACUAAGGAGAAAUACAAAAUCAACUGGAAAACAAGGUUUACAAUGGCAGUGAUUACAUAUAUCAAUAAUCAUGAUAGAUGUCCAUACACUAAAUGCUCCAAUCAAAAGACACCCAGUGCCAGACUGGAUAAUAAAACACAAGCCCACAAGAUGCUGCCUACAAGAGAACCACUUUAGGGCAAAGGACAUACAUAGACUGAAAGUGAAGGAGAUAGAAAAAGAUUUCAUGCAAACAAAUGAUGAAGCGGGGGAUGCAAAACAGACUUUUAAACAAAGGCCCAUGGAAUAUGUAUGCUGUGGUACACGGAAAAACUGGCCAACAGGAGCUUGUUCUACCAGCACAGGGAGCUCUAUCCAAUAUUCUGUGAUGAUCUACAUAAGAAAGAGUGAAAAAGAAUGGGUGUGUGUAUAUGAAUAAAUUAAUCAUUUUGUUGUGCAGCAGAAAUUAUAACAUUGUAAAUCAUGAAGAAAGAUAAAGGACACUAUAUAAUAAAGUGAACAAUACAAGACAAGGAUAUUACAUGCAUUUAUAUAUGUACCCAAUAUAAGAGCACCUAAAUAUAUAAAAUUAACAAAAGGAAUGAAUUGAUGGCAAUACAAUAAUAAGCUUUAAAACCCCACUCACGUCAAUGGACAAAUCUUCUAGAGAGAAAAUCAGUAAGACAACAAAGAUCCUAAAUGAUACAUUAGAUGAGUUACCUAAUUGAUAGUUUCAGGACAUUGUAUCAGAAAAAAUUAACUGGAAUACACAUUCUUUUCAAGCGCACAUGAAACAUUCUCUAGGACUGACCACAUACUAAGACACAAAACUGACCUCAGCAAGUUUAAGAGGAAAGAAAUUACUUCAGGCAUCUUUUCUGACCACAACAGUAUGGAAUUAUAAAUUAACCACAAGAAAAAAGAAAAAAAUUGCAUGGAGAUUUAAACAAUAUGCUACUGAAAGUAAAUAGGUCAAUGACGAAAUCAAACAGUAAAUUUUAAAAAUGCCUUGGGACAAGUGACAAUGAAAAUAUAACCAUACAAACUCUGUGGGAUGCAGAAAAAGCAGUCCUUAGAGGGAAGUUCCUAGUGAUACAGGCCUUCUUUAAAAAGUAAAAAUCACAAACAACCUAACUCACCAUCUAAUAGAAUUAGGAAAAGAAAAACAAUACCUGAAGUCAGCAGAAGGAAGGAAAGCAUGAAGAUGAGAGAGGAAAUAAAGAUUUUUAAAACUUGGGAAAAAAGCAAUAAAACCAAAAGCUUAUGGGCGUUCCCGUUGUGGUGCAGUGGAAAUGAAUCUGACUAGUAUUCUUGAGGAUAUGGGUUCAAUUCCUCCCUCACUCAGUGGGUCAGGAAUCUGGUAUUGCCUUGAGCUACAGGGCAUGGAUUAUAUGUUGCUGUGGCUGUGGUGUAGGCCAGGAGCAAUCCAAACCCUAGCCUGGGAACUUCCAUAUGCUGUGGGUGUGGCCCUAAAAAGAAAAAGGAAAAAAAAAUUAGUUAAUCUGAACAAAUCUACCACUAGAAGUGAAAUAGAAUCUAAUUUUAAACUCCCUGCAAACAAAAGUCCAGGACCAGAAAGCUUCUUUGGGGAAUUCUACCGUGUAUACAAAGAACUUCUUCUAUUGAUCCUUUUCAAACUCUUCCAAAAACUGAAGAAAAAGGAAUACUCCCAAAGUCAUUCUAUGAAGCCACCAUCACCCUGAUACCAAAACCAAAGACACUGCCAAAAAAGAAAAUUAUAGGCUAAUAUCUGAUGAAUAUAGAUACAAGAAAAUCUUAACAAAAUAUUAGCCAACUGCAUCCACCAACAUAUACAAAAGGUUAUACGAAGACUAAGUUGGAUUCAUCCCAGGGUCACAAAGAUAGUUCAACAAAUGCAAAUCAAUCAGUAUGCUACACCGCAUCAACAAAUGAAAAGACAAAAAAACAAAUAAUCAUCUCAAUAGAUGCAGAAAAAGCCUAUGAUAAAAUUCAACAUCCAUUCAUGAUAAAACCUCUUACCAAAGUGGACAUAGAACAUUUCAACAUAAUAAAAACUAUUUAUGGAGCUCCUGUCAUGGCUCUCAGAAAAAUACCAAAAAGGGAAAGUACAAAAUAGUAUCUUUAAAAUUUGCAUUAGGAGUUCCCAUCGUGGCUCAGUGGUUAACGAAUCUGACUAGGAACCAUGAGGUUGCAGGUUCGAUCCCUGGCCUUGCUUAGUGGGUUAAGGAUCCGGUGUUGCCAUGAGCUGUGGUGUAGAUUGCAGAUGCAGCUCAGAUCUGGCAUUGCUGUGGCUCUGGCGUAGGCCAGUGGCUCCAGCUCCAAUUCAACCCCUAGCCUGGGAACCUCCAUAUGCCGCGGGAACGGCCCAAGAAAAUGGCAAAAAA